AUGCAAAUGAGCUGCCAUAUGUGGAUCGUUUUCAUUUUGUACCUUCAUAACAAUCUGCCUCUGUGUUUUUCAUCUCAUUCUUUGUUAGUGUGUAUCGGUUACUCGUUUGUUGUAUUUGGCACAAUAUGGAAUUUGGUACAUUAUGGUGUGCUUCUGAGGAUCAUUUCUAUGCCCAUUGCGAUUUAUGACAUUAGUCUUCGUUUGAUGACUCGAUGUUUGAUUUCACCACUCUGGUUUUCUUGUGUAGUUGGAGUGUUUCAGAUUGCUCUGGAGUCACCAUGGUGCAUUCUUGUUUUAUUGCUGUUUUCUGAGGUGGAAAUCUGCUUGAAGCAAAGUAUUUCUUAUCUUUACGGAAUCUUUCAUAAACAUAAAACAUGA
Molecule: long non-coding RNA, 378 nt
Filed under: Prunus dulcis (almond)
Lineage: Eukaryota; Viridiplantae; Streptophyta; Magnoliopsida; Rosales; Rosaceae
Description: sRNA ncRNA
Source: RNAcentral